This 874-nucleotide ribosomal RNA is filed under the name Bacillus pumilus. RNAcentral's name for it is "bacterial SSU rRNA". It matches the Rfam family "Bacterial small subunit ribosomal RNA", at positions 56 to 914 of the family's 1533-position model. Lineage: Bacteria; Bacillati; Bacillota; Bacilli; Caryophanales; Bacillaceae. The record is from RNAcentral.
UGCAGUCGAGCGGACAGAAGGGAGCUUGCUCCCGGAUGUUAGCGGCGGACGGGUGAGUAACACGUGGGUAACCUGCCUGUAAGACUGGGAUAACUCCGGGAAACCGGAGCUAAUACCGGAUAGUUCCUUGAACCGCAUGGUUCAAGGAUGAAAGACGGUUUCGGCUGUCACUUACAGAUGGACCCGCGGCGCAUUAGCUAGUUGGUGAGGUAACGGCUCACCAAGGCGACGAUGCGUAGCCGACCUGAGAGGGUGAUCGGCCACACUGGGACUGAGACACGGCCCAGACUCCUACGGGAGGCAGCAGUAGGGAAUCUUCCGCAAUGGACGAAAGUCUGACGGAGCAACGCCGCGUGAGUGAUGAAGGUUUUCGGAUCGUAAAGCUCUGUUGUUAGGGAAGAACAAGUGCAAGAGUAACUGCUUGCACCUUGACGGUACCUAACCAGAAAGCCACGGCUAACUACGUGCCAGCAGCCGCGGUAAUACGUAGGUGGCAAGCGUUGUCCGGAAUUAUUGGGCGUAAAGGGCUCGCAGGCGGUUUCUUAAGUCUGAUGUGAAAGCCCCCGGCUCAACCGGGGAGGGUCAUUGGAAACUGGGAAACUUGAGUGCAGAAGAGGAGAGUGGAAUUCCACGUGUAGCGGUGAAAUGCGUAGAGAUGUGGAGGAACACCAGUGGCGAAGGCGACUCUCUGGUCUGUAACUGACGCUGAGGAGCGAAAGCGUGGGGAGCGAACAGGAUUAGAUACCCUGGUAGUCCACGCCGUAAACGAUGAGUGCUAAGUGUUAGGGGGUUUCCGCCCCUUAGUGCUGCAGCUAACGCAUUAAGCACUCCGCCUGGGGAGUACGGUCGCAAGACUGAACUCAAAGGAAUUGAC